This is a long non-coding RNA of Melanotaenia boesemani (Boeseman's rainbowfish), 408 nucleotides long. RefSeq lists it as uncharacterized. The transcript has 3 exons. The record is from RefSeq and is a predicted model, not a curated record. NCBI's taxonomy places the organism in Eukaryota, Metazoa, Chordata, Actinopteri, Atheriniformes, Melanotaeniidae.
UCUGUUGAGAAGACCUGAAGUUGGAAGCAGCUUCUUUCCUGUCUUGAAUCAGGAGGUCUGUCUGCAAGCCUAAUUGGAGCCUGGCAGCCGGUUGUGACUGGCUCCAUUACAAGGAGGCUACGCCAGUCAGCUGUUGGUGCUUAACAUGCAAGUCAUGUCAGAGCAAGCACACACGAUUCAGGGGCAGACAGCACUGUGUAGGGUUUCACCGGGAUGCAUGCAUCUAUGGCACAUAAACUUGAAAAGGAGCUGUCUUUGGAUGGAUCACGAGGAAAGGUUCCUGAAGCACAGCUGCACCUCAUCAGUUUAUCAUCCCAGCAGUUCAUCUACCCCGGUCCUUCCUUCAUUCAGUGCCAGGUUGUUUAAACAAGAGGAAACCCGCUGAAGCCAAAACUUCUGGAUCCUACU